GGGGGGGGGGGGGGGGGGGGGGGGGGGGUGGAGGGGGGGGGGGGGGGGGGUGGUGGGGGGGGGUGGUGGGGUGGGGAGGGGGUGAGUGAGGCGUGGGUAGCGUGCCCUUUACUUUGGGAUGAGUUCAGGAAGCGGGGGCUAAGACCGGAUCGGAGCUCCUGCUGCAUGGUGGGGGUUGGAAAGUUUGGGCGGGUGGGGAUGGACUCGCGGGUUAUCAGCUUGUUGGGGGGGUAGUGGCUGACGAAGGGUUUGCCUGGUAGCCGGCCUGAGUGGGUGAACUGCCACAUUUGUACUGAGAUACGGCCCAUACUCCUACGGGAGGCAGCAGUGGAGAAUAUUGCAAAAUGGGCGGAAGCCUGAUGCAGCAACGCCGCGUGCUGGAUGACGGCCUUCGGGUUGUAAACCGCUUUCGCCUGUGACGAAGCGUGAGUGACGGUAAUGGGUAAAGAAGCACCGGCUAACUACAUG
RNAcentral lists this ribosomal RNA (468 nucleotides) under uncultured bacterium. RNAcentral's name for it is "partial 16S ribosomal RNA". The stretch from base 63 to 468 matches the Rfam family "Bacterial small subunit ribosomal RNA", at positions 39 to 507 of the family's 1533-position model. The record is from RNAcentral.